UACGUAGGGACCGAGCGUUGUCCGGAAUCAUUGGGCGUACAGAGCGUGUAGGCGGCCACUUAAGUCCUGCGUGAAAUCCUGCGGCUCAACCGCAGGCGGUCGUGGGAAACUGGGUGGCUAGAGUGCGGGAGAGGAGAGUGGAAUUCAUGGUGUAGCAGUGAAAUGCGUAGAGAUCAUGAGGAAGACCAGUGGCGAAGGCGGGUCUCUGGACAGUUCCUGACGCUGAGGCACGAAGGCCAGGGGAGCAAACGGG
Molecule: ribosomal RNA, 253 nt
Filed under: uncultured bacterium
Lineage: Bacteria
Description: partial 16S ribosomal RNA
Rfam family: Bacterial small subunit ribosomal RNA
Source: RNAcentral